GACGAACGCUGGCGGCGUGCCUAAUACAUGCAAGUCGAGCGAGCUUGCCUAGAUGAUUUUAGUGCUUGCACUAAAUGAAACUAGAUACAAGCGAGCGGCGGACGGGUGAGUAACACGUGGGUAACCUGCCCAAGAGACUGGGAUAACACCUGGAAACAGAUGCUAAUACCGGAUAUUAUGGUUUUUUCGCACGGAGGAAUCAUGAAAGCUGGAUGCGCUAAGAGGGAGCUUUGCGUCCCAUUAGCUAGUUGGUGAGGUAACGGCCCACCAAGGCAAUGAUGGGUAGCCGGCCUGAGAGGGUGAACGGCCACAAGGGGACUGAGACACGGCCCAA
RNAcentral lists this ribosomal RNA (334 nucleotides) under uncultured bacterium. RNAcentral's name for it is "bacterial SSU rRNA". It matches the Rfam family "Bacterial small subunit ribosomal RNA", at positions 28 to 334 of the family's 1533-position model. The record is from RNAcentral.